Tupaia belangeri chinensis (Chinese tree shrew) is the source of this 767-nucleotide long non-coding RNA. RefSeq lists it as uncharacterized. NCBI's taxonomy places the organism in Eukaryota, Metazoa, Chordata, Mammalia, Scandentia, Tupaiidae. The transcript is spliced from 5 exons. The record is from RefSeq and is a predicted model, not a curated record.
UGCUGUACUUGAAGGGGUACAGUCAGUGCUGUUAUGAGACAGUCAGGUACCCAUAGCCAAAGACCACCUGCAGCGUACGUGAAGUCAACAAGUUGGAUUCAUCAGUCAUUGUACUGAGAAAGGCUGACCAUGGGACAUCUCAGUAAGAGAUUGCAGAGUGACCUUGUCUGAUGCUGAUGUUCUGUGAAAUUAUUUUUUUCGAAAGAAGAACAACAUGAUAGAGUGAUUCCCCGAGAAAAGUAAAGGAAUCUGUCUGUUGGGAUCCUUCCCUUGGCCAUCCUCAGGUUGAGUUUGAGCACAUGUUCCUGAAGAAUCCACAGGUUCAUCUUUAGACCCUUCAUCAUGAUGGACUAGAUAAAACAGCUUUCUCUGCCUCUAGGAAGAGCUGGCUUUCUCUACGUAUACAUUUUAAGUUAUGUUAUUCACACAAGUCUCUUGCUUAUUUUAGUGUCUCUGAAAUGGCCAGUACAAAGCAAAGCAUUUGGAAAGUAAAACUAGGACGUGUGAAAGAUGCAACAUUUCCUGAACCAAUGCAGAUGAUGCUCAAGUUCGCAGCAGAGUUUCAGUUCUGGAGGAAGGAAAGUAGACAUGGACGAUGCAACUGCCAGCGUUUAAUAACAAAACAGCAGGUCUGGGAAGCAGGUGCCGUGGUAACACACUGUUCAGCCAUGCUGGAUCCAAACUGACGACUGCAGGUCCCAUUUCCAGGUAGACCUGUAUCCAGGAUGCAGGCACACAUGAUCCCAACUGUCUGGGAAAAUUGUAUC